UACGUAGGGGGCAAGCGUUGUCCGGAUUUAUUGGGCGUAAAGAGCGUGUAGGCGGUUUGGUAGGUCCGUUGUGAAAACUCGAGGCUCAACCUCGAGACGGCCGGCCGGAAACCAUCAGGCUAGAGUCCGGAAGAGGAGAGUGGAAUUCCGUGGUGUAGCGGGUGAAAUGCGCAGAGUAUCAGGAAGAACACCCGUGGCUAAGGCGGCGUCUCUAGUACGGUACUGACGCUGAGACGCGAAAGCGUGGGGAGCGAACAGG
RNAcentral lists this ribosomal RNA (259 nucleotides) under uncultured bacterium. Its description in RNAcentral is "partial 16S ribosomal RNA". It matches the Rfam family "Bacterial small subunit ribosomal RNA", at positions 524 to 776 of the family's 1533-position model. The record is from RNAcentral.